This 279-nucleotide ribosomal RNA is filed under the name uncultured bacterium. RNAcentral's name for it is "partial 16S ribosomal RNA". It matches the Rfam family "Bacterial small subunit ribosomal RNA", at positions 506 to 784 of the family's 1533-position model. The record is from RNAcentral.
UGCCAGCAGCCGCGGUAAUACGGAAGGUCCAAGCGUUAAUCGGAAUUACUGGGCGUAAAGCGCGCGUAGGUGGUUUUUUAAGUUGGAUGUGAAAGCCCUGGGCUCAACCUAGGAACUGCAUCCAAAACUAGAUGACUAGAGUACGAAAGAGGGAAGUAGAAUUCACAGUGUAGCGGUGGAAUGCGUAGAUAUUGUGAAGAAUACCAAUGGCGAAGGCAGCUUCCUGGCUCGACACUGACACUGAGGCGCGAAAGCGUGGGGAUCAAACGGGAUUAGAUA